Molecule: long non-coding RNA, 229 nt
Filed under: Elaeis guineensis (African oil palm)
Lineage: Eukaryota; Viridiplantae; Streptophyta; Magnoliopsida; Arecales; Arecaceae
Description: long non-coding RNA (EGUI_LNC054011)
Source: RNAcentral
GCAGAGAUGCUAAUGUUUUAGGCUAAAUUUUGAUUGUUGCAUGAAGAAGCGAGCCCAGAUGGAGACGCUCGUCGACCAGCUCGACCUUCUGAGGGCAGUCGGUAUCACCAGCGAUGGCGAGGGCCACUACGUGGUGAAGCUCCACCUCCUUUUCUUCCAUUUCAUCCUUGUCUGACGAAGGCCUAUCUAUGCGCCGCCUUCAGCAGUGACGUCUACAACCUUUUUGCCG